ACAGACAGAUCACAGCCACUCCCUGGUCCCUGCACAGGAAGCUCUCUCAAAAGCCUCCUUUUUCCAUCUCUAGCAGCAACUUGCAGUCUGGCCUCAUUGCUCUCUUGUAUGCCUAUCCACAAGUCAUUGUCUCGAGGGGAAAAACAAAACAAAACAGGAAAACCCAAGAUCUUCACUGUUUCCCUCCUUCCAGUCACAAGGUUUCUCGUCUCAAAACAAGUUGAGUUGGGGAUCCUUUGGUCCUGGACUGGUGCAUACAGUAGAAGAGGAAUGAAAGAAGGGCAGAUCAUAAUUUCCUGGUCUAAGGGAAGUGAGAUGGGAGGAGACAGAAUAAAUACUUGAUAAUUACAAAG
Phascolarctos cinereus (koala) is the source of this 353-nucleotide long non-coding RNA. RefSeq lists it as uncharacterized. The record is from RefSeq and is a predicted model, not a curated record. Lineage: Eukaryota; Metazoa; Chordata; Mammalia; Diprotodontia; Phascolarctidae.